UGACCUAAGUUCAACGGCCGCGGUAUCCUAACCGUGCGAAGGUAGCGUAAUCACUUGUUCUUUAAAUGGGGACUAGUAUGAAUGGCAUCACGAGGGUUAAACUGUCUCCUUUUUCUAAUCAGUGAAACUAAUCUCCCCGUGAAGAAGCGAGGAUAACUUUAUAAGACGAGAAGACCCUAUGGAGCUUAAAACAAAUUUACACCUGCUUUAUUACACCCACCUUCCCGAAUACUUACACAAACUAUAGCAUGCUUGAUAAAUAGUUUUCGAUUGGGGUGAUCAUGGAGAAAAAAAUAACCUCCACGACGACAAGGGAGUUUCCCUGAGCCAAAAGCCACAACUUUAAGCACUAAAAAAUUAACGCACUUUGACCCAAUUACUUGAGCAACGAACCAAGUUACCCUAGGGAUAACAGCGCAAUCCACUUCAAGAGCUCCUAUCGACAAGUGGGCUUACGACCUCGAUGUUGGAUCAGGGUAUCCCAGUGGUGCAGCCGCUACUAAA
RNAcentral lists this ribosomal RNA (504 nucleotides) under Boana alfaroi (Alfaro's treefrog). RNAcentral describes it as "LSU rRNA". It matches the Rfam family "Bacterial large subunit ribosomal RNA", at positions 1909 to 2569 of the family's 2925-position model. The record is from RNAcentral. Lineage: Eukaryota; Metazoa; Chordata; Amphibia; Anura; Hylidae.